CCUUUGACGUUAGCGGCGGACGGGUGAGUAACACGUGGGUAACCUACCUAUAAGACUGGGAUAACUUCGGGAAACCGGAGCUAAUACCGGAUAAUAUUUCGAACCGCAUGGUUCGAUAGUGAAAGGUGGUUUUGCUAUCACUUAUAGAUGGACCCGCGCCGUAUUAGCUAGUUGGUAAGGUAACGGCUUACCAAGGCGACGAUACGUAGCCGACAUGAGAGGGUGAUCGGCCACACUGGAACUGAGACACGGUCCAGACUCCUACGGGAGGCAGCAGGC
This 279-nucleotide ribosomal RNA is filed under the name uncultured Staphylococcus sp. RNAcentral's name for it is "partial 16S ribosomal RNA". It matches the Rfam family "Bacterial small subunit ribosomal RNA", at positions 83 to 354 of the family's 1533-position model. Lineage: Bacteria; Bacillati; Bacillota; Bacilli; Caryophanales; Staphylococcaceae. The record is from RNAcentral.